Molecule: ribosomal RNA, 497 nt
Filed under: uncultured bacterium
Lineage: Bacteria
Description: partial 16S ribosomal RNA
Rfam family: Bacterial small subunit ribosomal RNA
Source: RNAcentral
GAUGAACGCUAGCGGCAGGCCUAAUACAUGCAAGUCGGACGGGAUUUGGGAGCUUGCUCCUAAUGAGAGUGGCGCACGGGUGCGUAACACGUAUGUAACCUACCUUAAUCAGGGGGAUAGCCUCUCGAAAGAGAGAUUAACACCGCAUAAUAUAUUUUUAUGGCAUCGUAGAAAUAUCAAAUAUUUAUAGGAUUAAGAUGGGCAUGCGGAACAUUAGCUAGUUGGUAAGGUAACGGCUUACCAAGGCUACGAUGUUUAGGGGAUCUGAGAGGAUGCCCCCCACACUGGUACUGAGACACGGAACAGACUCGUACGGGAGGCAGCAGUAAGGAAUAUUGAUCAAUGGGCGCAAGCCUGAACCAGCCAUGCCGCGUGCAGGAAGACGGCCCUAUGGGUUGUAAACUGCUUUUGUACCGGAAUAAACCCUUUUACGUGUAAGAGGCUGAAUGUACGGUAAGAAUAAGGAUCGGCUAACUCCGUGCCAGCAGCCGCCGUAA